AUGGAUCAUGCUCCUCGUCCUUACUAAGUGUGCAUACCAUUAUUAGAAGCUGAAAUAAAAACAAUAAAAAGAAAAGAAAAUUGAUCAAAGAAAAUUAAACAUCAUCGUUAUACGCUAGCAAUAAAAACAAACAACUCUAAGAGAAAAUUUUAAAAAGUUAAAAUUUUCCCACUUGUAACUUUUAAAAAGUAAUCAAACUUAAUAAUAUUUGAAAAGAUAUGGGAUCACUCUCUAUCAAAGUUGACCUAAGGCUCCAAGAAGCAAAAGAAAAACUCAACUCCAAAAGAAGUAAGUUGCAUAGAAAAAGGAGAGGCAACUGUUUCCAUACCUAUUAACACAAGAAAUGAAAAUGUGUUAGAAUGCGUAAUAGAAUAAGGAAAGCUAAAAAAAAAUAAAUAAAUAAUGCUAGAAUCAAAUAAAAUAAACUACCCAACCGAAAACCCAAAACAAUGGAAAAUAACAUAAAAUUUUCGUUCAAGGUGUUUUCGAUUUUCACAAAUCACGAAAUUAAAAUUGGAGUCUCCUUAAGUAAUGUAGAUCUAAUCUGAAAAAUUUUCGACAUGAAAUUCAACCCACAAAUUUUUUUUAUUUUUUUCGUAUUUUUCUAUUUUUGCACUUUUUCGAUCACUUUUUUUUGUGAGAAAUAUUUUUUAUAUUCUAAGAGAGUGCCAAGAAUCAGUAUGUAAAUUUUUUUAUCAUUUAGGAAACGUUUACUGACUAAAAAAUAUUUUUUUCCAAAAAUAUUUUUUGGGUAAGAACAAAAAAAUUUGUUUUGAGGUUGUUUGCUAAAAAUCAGUUUAUAAGAACACAAAAAAUACCUAAAAAGCCCAAAUGUAAUGCCAAAUGAUAAUAAUUGAGUGGAGGAAGUGGAUCAAGAAUCGUAUUCAAGUUGUUCAACUCGAGAAACAAAGAUUUAGAUGUGACCUGAAAGGAAGAAACUAAAAAGAUUUAGAAAAAAAUAAUAAUAAUAGAAUUAAGAAAUUUUAAAAAUAAAGAAUACAUAUUCAAAAUAGUAACUAAAUAAAGAAAAGAUAGAUUAAAACAAAGUGGAAGAUGAAAAGAGAAAAUUGAUGAAUAUGAUGAAUAGAAGGAUAAGUGUCCAAUUGAAUCUUUUGGGAUAUAAAUUCCAACAACCCCAAUAAAUGGUUUUAAUUAACCCUCCAAUAAAUAAUUUUUGGAAAAUUGAAGGGUAAAGAAUGAAUUAACACAACUCUUUGAAGAAAAUUAAGAAGAAAACUACUUCCAAAAAUUAAAAGAAAGAAAUCUUUCACAAAAAAAAAAAACUCAUAGAAUUGAAAACUUUAUUAACGAAAACAAUUGUGUCCCUACUGAAAAAUGAAGAAAUCUUUAUAUAGGCUAACUAAGUACGUCCAAAUAAAACUCUAAAGUAUACUGAAACUCUAAUUAAUCUAAAUAAUAAGUAGUUUUAAACUAAACUUUCGUGUUUAACUAAGAAACAUUAAAUUCCUAAACUAUUUAAAAUACUUAAAUAAUAUCCAAAAUUUGGAAUAAAUAAAUAAUAAAAUAAUAGAUUCUAAUAAAUACAAUUUGAGAUCAUAUAUAAUAAAAAUUAAGCCUAAAAAUUGAACCCAAUAUGAAUUAAACUCGAAUUAAAAGCCCAAAACUUAUAAUUUUCGUAAUAAUCCAGUCCAAAAAUUCUGCUUGCACAGUCUUCACUAAAAUAGUUCUGCUUGCGUAGUCUUCACUAAAACAGUCAUAAUUUGAGCUCCCAAACUCACAAUUGAGUGAUUAAGAGAUAGAUAUUCGAACGCUAUAAAUAUAUUUAAACCCAAAAUGCAUGGAUCUCAUCCAAAAAGUCAUCGUAAGUCGAUUGAUUUUCCAAACUUAAAAAUUGAUAGCUUCAAUGAAUGGAAUUUAAUAAAUGUCACCCAAUUCGUUCAUGUUUCACUACAUCCUAAUCUUUUCCAUAUGGUGCAACUUGAUUUUAGUUAAGCCUUAGGCAAUCAAUGAUCUAAUAUUUGUUUAUUCAUUUUGUUUUUUCAUGAAAAAACUUUUGAGGAAAAACAUACAAAGAUAUAAUAAAUUAACUAUGGAAUUUUAUUUAACCAAUCUAUUUGAAAAAUUACAAUUAAGAUGACAAAAUCAUUGUACUGAGGACACAAAAUCCUAACAAUACAUUGGUGAGUGCUGCACGUCUAAGGAAGGGUGCAAGUGAAGGGUGAGGGCUUUAUUAAGGGGUCACAUCUUUGUGUGAUUCAAAAAUAUGAAGGACCUUAUACUUGCAUAGUAGACUCAAAAUCAUUAGAAACAAGAUGUGAAGUUGUAAAAACCUCGAUUUUCUCUUUGUUAAGUUUGAUUGUUAAGACAAAUGUUUAGUCAAGUGUUCAAACAAUGACUGCCCAAACAAAUAUUUGAACAGAAGCUUGAAUAGAACACAAGUAAUAAGCAAAACAAGAAAAAGAAAUAAACACGAGAGAUUUGUCAACGUAGUUUAAAAAAAAUCUUACUUUAUAAAGCCUCGCUCAGUGAUGAUUCUUAUUCAACAAUCUUUCAGUUCACCUAUUGGUUUAAGCCCGAACUACCUUUUCACAAAAAAGUAAUUGUAACCCCAACAUUGACCCCAAAUGUUACAAAUCACUCGCCCAAAAACCUCACUUACAU
This 2622-nucleotide long non-coding RNA is filed under the name Gossypium barbadense (sea-island cotton). Its description in RNAcentral is "long non-coding RNA (GBAR_LNC002976)". Lineage: Eukaryota; Viridiplantae; Streptophyta; Magnoliopsida; Malvales; Malvaceae. The record is from RNAcentral.